Molecule: ribosomal RNA, 464 nt
Filed under: uncultured bacterium
Lineage: Bacteria
Description: bacterial SSU rRNA
Rfam family: Bacterial small subunit ribosomal RNA
Source: RNAcentral
CUAUCGGUAUGGGAUGGGGUCGCGUCCUAUCAGGUAGUCGGCGGGGUAACGGCCCACCGAGCCUACGACGGGUAGCCGGCCUGAGAGGGCGACCGGCCACAUUGGGACUGAGAUACGGCCCAGACUCCUACGGGAGGCAGCAGUGGGGAAUAUUGCACAAUGGGCGCAAGCCUGAUGCAGCGACGCCGCGUGCGGGAUGACGGCCUUCGGGUUGUAAACCGCUUUUGACUGGGAGCAAGCCCUUCGGGGUGAGUGUACCUUUCGAAUAAGCACCGGCUAACUACGUGCCAGCAGCCGCGGUAAUACGUAGGGUGCAAGCGUUAUCCGGAAUUAUUGGGCGUAAAGGGCUCGUAGGCGGUUCGUCGCGUCCGGUGUGAAAGUCCAUCGCUUAACGGUGGAUCCGCGCCGGGUACGGGCGGGCUUGAGUGCGGUAGGGGAGACUGGAAUUCCCGGUGUAACGGUGG